AGAGGCACAACAGGAACACCUUGAUUUUGUUACCUGAGGGUCCUGGAUGCGGAUGUUGCUUGGCUGAACUGGCACUCUGAAAGUUCUGCUUCUGCAUCUUCAGAAAAAGGAUGAACAGGAGUUCCCGUCGGGCGCAGUGGUUAACGAAUCCGACUAGGGCGCACGCUGGAUCCUUGACCCACUGAGCGAGGCCAGGAAUCGAACCCUCCUCAGAUACAUUUCUGCUGUGCCACAAUCGGAACUCCUAAAUCUCAGUUUUUUAGUGAGCCCUGAGUCCGUGGGCUGUGACCUUCAGAAUUGAUUUAGCCUUUUUGCUCUUCCUCUUCUGUGAGACAGGAAGGUGAGAGGGCCUGGAGGUGACUAAUUCCCUUUCCUCGGGUCAGAGGAGGCCCUGGCAGGGCAGUUUCCCUUGGAGAACAGGGCUUGGAGCUGUUUCCAAAGUUACUCUCCCUUCCCCUGCCCAAAACACGAGGGGAUUUUUCUGCUCUUCAUUUGUGAACCUUCCUGCGAGGGGCUCCGUGAAUCUGGACCAGGAGUUUUUAAUCCUCAAGCUAGUCCUCACUCAGUGCUGGAAAUUUGUCAAAGUUAGCAUUUAAGUGUCCCUACUGGUUACCGGCUUCUGAAGCUUUGCUUCGGGUCAGCUGACCUUGGCUGUGGCUCUUAGUUAUUUUCACAUUUCUCCAGGUUUUGGAGGUGGCGUGACCUCAGUUUUCUGAUGAACCUAAGAAAAGUCAUUGAUUUCCGGUUUUAAGCUUUUUUCUUGCUGUGAACAUGAGAGUGAUGAUUUCCAAGCUCUUUAUGAGUCAGGGCUGAGAGUGGACGGCUGCCUAUGUCUUUGCUUAAACUCACCUCUAGUUGAGUCCGAUGAAUGCUGAGGAUUGAAAACCCCUGAUUUAGCCCGAUUUCUUCAUUUCACAGAUAAGAACGGUGAAGUCCAGUGAGGGAAAUGACUAUUCUAAGAUCAUACAGAAUCAAAACCUAGACUAGACGCUGGGUCUCUUGGCCAGAUCAUCUUCAUUACUGUUUUUUUUUUUGGGUUUACAUAUAAUUACCUUCAAAGGGAUUAAUCAUAUUUCAUAUUAUAGGCUGUGGAAAAUAUCUUUAUUUUGAUGGUUCACUGAUUUAAAUCCUUGAUUUUACCUCAGAUUUAUUCUGGGAUCUGAUUAUAAUUGUACACAUUGUCAUAGCUAUCUUGAAUCUCCCCUGAAAUGUUCCUUUUGAUAUAAAUAUCAAACCAUCACAGAAGUGAGCUCUUAAUGCAGCGUGGCUGCAAGUAAAAUAGUACCUAAAAGAAAACUUCAGAGCGCCUCCUUCAGUCUCGUGGAAAGUUUAAUUGAAUCGUUUAUAGCAAUGACCGCUGCGUCUGUCCCUUCUCUCCCCACUCCUCGCCAUCAUUUCAGUUCCCUGAUUUUAGUGUAGAGCGGGGAGCAGCUGAAUCUUCUCUCCAAACCAGCCCCUCCUGUGCUUGCACACAUGAUGUGCUUCUAAAUUUCUGUCUAGAGAAGGCUGAGACCACUUGUUUUAGAGCAAAAAUUGGCAGUCUCCUUCUGUAAAGGGCCAGAGAGUUAACAUUUUAGCCUUUGCAGGCCAUGGGAUCUCUGUUUCACCUGCGCAACACCACCCAUGUAAUGAGAAAGCAGCCAAUCAUAAGCAGUAUGUAAGCAAAUGGACAUAACUGUGUUCUAAUAAAACUUUAUUUACAAAAACAGGCUGCUAGCCUCUGUUGUAGAGCUUAUAGAAAUCCUGCGUUCGCUUUUAUGUCCCAAAGGAUGGAGCCCCUAGAUGAUUUUUAUUAGGUUGCUUUCACAAUAGCGGUAUUUUGUUGUGGAACAUUGCAUCUUAGUUUUGGGGGUUUUUUAAGACAUGCAUUUUGGUGAUGAGAUAGAGUUUUGUUUUUCUUUAUAUAAGGUUUGAGCAAGGUGAGACCUUUCAGUCUUAUGUGAAUCUAGAUUAACACGAGGAAAAAUUAAAAAAAAAAACAACAAAAAACAAACGUGGUUAUUUAUUGUAACAGCUGAGGCCGUCUGUGCUUCUAGUGGUGGAUAUGGUAAAACAUGUCUUUUAUUAAGUUCUUAAUAAUAGAAAGUCUCAGGAUAUGUUGUGUUAUAGGUACCUAUAGAGUUAUUAGGUGAGAAGGAUGGUUUUAAUUUACUUUGAAUUCUUGGUAGGUUGCUUAUUGCAUGCUUAGAAAAAGUGGAUAUUGGUGUUUGCGCUUUGCAACUAACACAGAUUUUGGUUGCCAUAGCUUUCCAUUAGCUCCUUAAGAUCCCUAUAGGGCUCUGGUUGCCUGGCUGGAGAGAAGGCAGGAAACCCGUAGGAGCUGAGAGGACAGAUAACAAGUUGAGAAGUAGCUCUAGGGAGCCCUGGCUGUAGGGCCAAGGGCCAACCAAGGUUUUUAUGUUUUGUCAAAGGUAUGAACUUGAAGUUUUGCCAGAUAGAAUUCCUGCUAGCUAGCUGGGUUAAUUAAUAUAUGCUGCAAGUCAUCAUUGUUUUAGAGAACUGCAAUUUAAGUUAAUUAAAAUUAAAAAAAAUACAAACUAUAAAAUUCUGUUUUGGGUGCUUUGCAGUCCUUUGGGGAGUACUGCUGACCUUUAAUAAUGGUAGUCUAGGAAGUUCCCGUGGUGGCUAAGCUGAUUAAGAAUCCGACUAGUAUCCAUGAGGAUGCAGGUUCGAUCCCUGGCCUUGCUCAGUGGGUUAAAGGGUCCAGCUUUGCCACGAUCUGUGUAGGUCGCAGACAUGCUUGGUCUGGCGUUGCUGUGGCUAUGGUGUAGGCUGACAGAUGCAGCUCCUGUUGGACCCCUAGCCUGGGAACCUACAUAUGUUGCUGGUGGGGCCCUAAAAAGACAAAAAUAAAAUAAAAUGGCAGUCUCCGGUGUUAGGACCCUGAAAGCUUGCUGAUUAAUUAGAAAGGUCUUAUGAUUAGAGUUUAUUAUAGGUUGAAAAGAAUAUCGCAAAGAGACUCUAGAGGGCAGUGUAACUCAGCGUGUCCAUGCCUCUGACACAUGUAUCCUGAACUCUUUCUCCACUACACGGUGUCCCAAUUUGGCAGAAUGUGGGUUUGGAAAGAAAUGCUCUGGUUUGGCUUAGAGAGGUUUCUUAGAUAAUAGAUCAUAAUUAUUGGCCCUAGGGAAUAUCCAUGCUUGGUUUAAAACAUAUUGCCUGAGAAAACCUGGAAUUCUUUUACUGAUUCAAAUAAAUUGAAUUGGGUUUGCUUUUCAGGAGUUUGUGGAACAUUAAGCAAAAGGAAUGGUAUAUUUUUGUGUUUUCACAUAUUUUAGGAUAGGAAGUAAUGUACCUUCUAUUAGAGAAUUCAAAACAGUGGGAAGAGUUUGACUUAUUUUGACACAUUUUUAAACAUCUCUUGAAAGUGGUAAGGUUGAAACCGGAUGAUUGAUUUGCUGAAUGUCUGAAUCAACGCUGAACUUUUCAAAAGUUUUCAAAUGCUCGUGUUUUGCAAAAUCUGAAGGCUAGUCAUUGUUUUCUAAUUUUUAAGAAAUUUCUGUAUAUUUUUGGGAAAUCUGUAUUUUUUUUUAACUCAUUUUACACAUAAGUCAUCAAAUGGGGUUUGGAAAAAACUGUUUUGAAGUCUUAGGAACUUUUGGAUCAUUUAAAUUUUUUCUCCCUUAAAAGUGAAAACUGAGGGUUACAAAGAACAAACUAAUGAAUCUCCUAGAAUUUUUACAUUCAGAAUUUUAAACUAUUAAUUAUAGUUUUAGGGAAAAUAUUUUGUGACUGCAUUUCCUGUCGUUGCUACACUGUGGAUUAGUAUAUCCAGUGGUUAAGCAUGACAGAUGUACAUUUGGGAUUUUUGAGCUUUUUGUUUUAACUUUGACCCAUUAGAAUGACCUUAAAGUGUACUUUUUUAUCUGAUUUAGGAUAAUUCAAGUUUUCCAUUUAUGGUUGAAAUGAAUGUGUUUGAUAAGGCACUUCAAAUUCAAAUACUGCAGAUUUAAGAAACAUACCAUUAUGGGGAUUCUUUUUCUAGUUUUGUUCACAUUGGUUUAUAGAUACCAACUAAAGUAUCUUCUUUCUCUUUUGUCUUGUCUAGUUAUUUAUCUUCCCAUUCCUCUCUACCAUAGGUUGGUUAAAAUCAUUAUUUUGAUCUAGUUCUUUGGACAGAAACAUCAGGAAUUAUUUAGACAAUAGAUAGUAAGUGAUCCCCGUGUUUUUAGUAGUGUUAAAACUGAAAUGCGUUUGAGAAACAGUUGUGAGCAUUCUGUAUUAGUUUCGAUAACUGGUAUUGGGUAUUAUUAGUAUCACCUUUGUGUGCAUCUUUUUUCCAUUUUUUUCAUGGGGAAUAAUAUAUCUAUCUAUGUGUAAAAUACAUUACACAUCAGAGCUUUCACCUUAAGUUGUGUAUUUUAAAAACUUAUAAGAAUUGGGAAUUCCUGUCGUGGCUAGGAGUUAACGAAUCUACUAGCGUCCAUGAGGAUGCAGGUUCGAUCCCUGGCCUUGCUCAGUGGAUUAAGGAUCUGGCAUUGCCGUGAGCUGUGGUAUAGGUCACAGAUGCAGCUCAGAUCCUGUGUUGCUAUGGCUGUGGUGUAGGCCAGCAGCUACAGCUCCAA
RNAcentral lists this long non-coding RNA (4565 nucleotides) under Sus scrofa (pig). Its description in RNAcentral is "lncRNA (ENSSSCG00050033849.1)". The record is from RNAcentral. Lineage: Eukaryota; Metazoa; Chordata; Mammalia; Artiodactyla; Suidae.